This 390-nucleotide ribosomal RNA is filed under the name uncultured bacterium. Its description in RNAcentral is "bacterial SSU rRNA". It matches the Rfam family "Bacterial small subunit ribosomal RNA", at positions 28 to 424 of the family's 1533-position model. The record is from RNAcentral.
GACGAACGCUGGCGGCGUGCUUAACACAUGCAAGUCACGGGGGCCCAGCAAUGGGUAACCGGCGAACGGGUGCGUAACACGUGAGCAACCUGCCGAUCUGAGGGGGAUAGCCGGCCCAACGGCCGGGUAAUACCGCAUACGUUCUUGAGAGGACAUCCUCUUGGGAAGAAACCUCCGGGGCAGAUCGAGGGGCUCGCGGCCUAUCAGCUAGUUGGUGUGGGGUAACGGCCCACCAAGGCGACGACGGGUAGCUGGUCUGAGAGGAUGGCCAGCCACAUUGGGACUGAGAGACGGCCCAGACUCCUACGGGAGGCAGCGAGUGGGGAAUCUUGCGCAAUGGCCGAAAGGCUGACGCAGCGACGCCGCGUGUGGGAUGAAGGCCCUAGGGUU